RNAcentral lists this ribosomal RNA (253 nucleotides) under uncultured prokaryote. Its description in RNAcentral is "partial 16S ribosomal RNA". It matches the Rfam family "Bacterial small subunit ribosomal RNA", at positions 525 to 777 of the family's 1533-position model. The record is from RNAcentral.
ACGUAGGGUCCGAGCGUUGUCCGGAGUUACUGGGCGUAAAGCGCGCGCAGGCGGUUGGUUGCGUCGGGUGUGAAAGCCCCCCGCUCAACGGGGGAGGGUCAUUCGAAACGGGCCAACUGGAGGCAGGGAGAGGUCGGUGGAAUUCCCGGUGUAGUGGUGAAAUGCGUAGAUAUCGGGAGGAACACCAGUGGCGAAGGCGGCCGGCUGGACCUGACCUGACGCUGAGGCGCGAAGGCGUGGGGAGCGAACGGGA